Papaver somniferum (opium poppy) is the source of this 146-nucleotide small nucleolar RNA. RefSeq annotates it as small nucleolar RNA snoR135. The transcript has a single exon. Lineage: Eukaryota; Viridiplantae; Streptophyta; Magnoliopsida; Ranunculales; Papaveraceae. The record is from RefSeq and is a predicted model, not a curated record.
UAUGCAGAGAUAUGUGUGUAUCGGAGUUGUGCUUUAAAUGCAUUUUAUCCGAAAGAGUUAUCUGCGAAACUGAUUUUUGGUGAAGGUGGGCAGUUGAGUUUCAUCAUAAAUCUAUUGAUUUAUCAACAAUCAUUUUCUCCACAUUU